RNAcentral lists this ribosomal RNA (252 nucleotides) under uncultured prokaryote. RNAcentral describes it as "partial 16S rRNA". It matches the Rfam family "Archaeal small subunit ribosomal RNA", at positions 475 to 726 of the family's 1478-position model. The record is from RNAcentral.
ACCGGCAGCUCAAGUGGUGGCCAUUUUUAUUGGGCCUAAAGCGUUCGUAGCAGGUUUGAUAAGUCUCUGGUGAAAUCCCGCAGCUUAACUGUGGGACUUGCUGGAGAAACUAUUAGACUUGAGGUCCGGAGAGGUUAGGGAUACUCCCAGUCUAGGGUUGAAGUCCUAUGAGCCUGGGAAAACCACCUCUGGCGGAGACGCCUAACUGGAUUAGACCUGACAGUGACUAGCGAAAACCAAUAGCGAGAGCCG